AAGCUCACUUCAGCAGCACAUAUACUAAAAUUGGAAUGAUACAGAGAAAAUUAGCAUGACCUCUGCUCAAAGAUGACACUGUAAUGUGUGAAGUGUUCCAUAUUAAA
Molecule: small nuclear RNA, 107 nt
Filed under: Colobus angolensis palliatus
Lineage: Eukaryota; Metazoa; Chordata; Mammalia; Primates; Cercopithecidae
Source: RNAcentral